Molecule: non-coding RNA, 114 nt
Organism: Caenorhabditis elegans
Lineage: Eukaryota; Metazoa; Nematoda; Chromadorea; Rhabditida; Rhabditidae
Source: Ensembl
AGUUUUUCUUUACGAGACUAUAAAUUCCUAUGAACAUUUAUAAAAUCUAACAAAUGUGGCGUACAGUGUUUCACAGUAUUCCACAACUAAACGGAUAACGUUAAUUCCGUCAUU